UGGGGAAUUGUUCGCAAUGGGCGCAAGCCUGACGACGCAACGCCGCGUGGAGGAUGAAGGUCUUCGGAUUGUAAACUCCUGUUGACCGGGAAGAAUGGAUCUCGCAUGAAUACUGCGAGGUAAUGACGGUACCGGUUGAGGAAGCCACGGCUAACUCUGUGCCAGCAGCCGCGGUAAUACAGAGGUGACAAGCGUUGUUCGGAAUUACUGGGCGUAAAGGGCGCGUAGGCGGCCGCCUAAGUCAGACGUGAAAUCCCCAAGCUUAACUUGGGAACUGCGUCUGAUACUGGGUGGCUUGAGUUCGGGAGAGGAAUGUGGAAUUCCAGGUGUAGCGGUGAAAUGCGUAGAUAUCUGGAGGAACACCGGUGGCGAAGGCGGCAUCCUGGACCGACAUUGACGCUGAGGCGCGAAAGCCAGGGGAGCAAA
Molecule: ribosomal RNA, 426 nt
Filed under: uncultured bacterium
Lineage: Bacteria
Description: bacterial SSU rRNA
Rfam family: Bacterial small subunit ribosomal RNA
Source: RNAcentral